This 440-nucleotide ribosomal RNA is filed under the name uncultured Shewanella sp. Its description in RNAcentral is "bacterial SSU rRNA". It matches the Rfam family "Bacterial small subunit ribosomal RNA", at positions 358 to 790 of the family's 1533-position model. Lineage: Bacteria; Pseudomonadati; Pseudomonadota; Gammaproteobacteria; Alteromonadales; Shewanellaceae. The record is from RNAcentral.
GGAAUAUUGCACAAUGGGGGAAACCCUGAUGCAGCCAUGCCGCGUGUGUGAAGAAGGCCUUCGGGUUGUAAAGCACUUUCAGUAGGGAGGAAAGGGUGUAGCUUAAUACGCUAUAUCUGUGACGUUACCUACAGAAGAAGGACCGGCUAACUCCGUGCCAGCAGCCGCGGUAAUACGGAGGGUCCGAGCGUUAAUCGGAAUUACUGGGCGUAAAGCGUGCGCAGGCGGUUUGUUAAGCGAGAUGUGAAAGCCCUGGGCUCAACCUAGGAAUAGCAUUUCGAACUGGCGAACUAGAGUCUUGUAGAGGGGGGUAGAAUUCCAGGUGUAGCGGUGAAAUGCGUAGAGAUCUGGAGGAAUACCGGUGGCGAAGGCGGCCCCCUGGACAAAGACUGACGCUCAUGCACGAAAGCGUGGGGAGCAAACAGGAUUAGAUACCCGAG